UACGUAGGGUGCGACCGGUAAUCGGAAUUACUGGGCGUAAAGCGUGCGCAGGUGGUUCGCUAAGACAGAUGUGAAAGCCCCGGGCUCAACCUGGGAACUGCGUUUGUGACUGGCGGGCUAGAGUGCGGAAGAGGGAGGUGGAAUUCCACGUGUAGCAGUGAAAUGCGUAGAGAUGUGGAGGAACACCGAUGGCGAAGGCAGCCUCCUGGUCUAGCACUGACGCUCAUGCACGAAAGCGUGGGGAGCAAACCGG
Molecule: ribosomal RNA, 253 nt
Filed under: uncultured bacterium
Lineage: Bacteria
Description: partial 16S ribosomal RNA
Rfam family: Bacterial small subunit ribosomal RNA
Source: RNAcentral